GAUGAACGCUAGCGGGAGGCCUAACACAUGCGAGCCGAGCGGUAGAGUUUCUUCGGAAACUUGAGAGCGGCGCACGGGUGCGUAACACGUGUGCAACCUACCUUUAUCUGGGGGAUAGCCUUUCGAAAGGAAGAUUAAUACCCCAUAAUAUAAUGAUUGGCAUCAAUUAUUAUUGAAAACUCCGGUGGAUAGAGAUGGGUACGCGCAAGAUUAGAUAGUUGGUGAGGUAACGGCUCACCAAGUCAAUGAUCUUUAGGGGUCCUGAGAGGGAGAUCCCCCACACUGGUACUGAGACACGGACCAGACUCCUACGGGAGGCAGCAGUGAGGAAUAUUGGACAAUGGGUGAGAGCCUGAUCCAGCCAUCCCGCGUGAAGGAUGACGGUCCUAUGGAUUGUAAACUUCUUUGUACAGGGAUAAACCUACCCUCGUGAGGGUAGCUGAAGGUACUGUACGAAUAAGCACCGGCUAACUCCGUG
RNAcentral lists this ribosomal RNA (478 nucleotides) under uncultured bacterium. RNAcentral's name for it is "partial 16S ribosomal RNA". It matches the Rfam family "Bacterial small subunit ribosomal RNA", at positions 28 to 507 of the family's 1533-position model. The record is from RNAcentral.